RNAcentral lists this long non-coding RNA (217 nucleotides) under Hordeum vulgare. RNAcentral describes it as "long non-coding RNA (HVUL_LNC000157)". The record is from RNAcentral. Lineage: Eukaryota; Viridiplantae; Streptophyta; Magnoliopsida; Poales; Poaceae.
UAUAAACUAGUAUUAAUAAUUUAGUGUCAUCAUGCUAACUGAGACAUUGCAAAAUAUCUAUUCUGCAGAAUAACUCCCGAGCGGCAUCGCACGACCCUUCUCCAGGUGUUUCUCCUCCUUGAUGACCACUACGGUAAGUUUCUCUUCUCCUCUUUCAUAUAAUGACAUAGUUAGCUAAUUUAGCUCCAAGAAGAGGAGAAGAGGAGAAAUGAAAAGG